CCUACGGGAGGCAGCAGUGGGGAAUAUUGGGCAAUGGGCGCAAGCCUGACCCAGCAACGCCGCGUGAAGGAAGAAGGCUUUCGGGUUGUAAACUUCUUUUAAGAGGGAAGAGCAGAAGACGGUACCUCUUGAAUAAGCCACGGCUAACUACGUGCCAGCAGCCGCGGUAAUACGUCGGUGGCAAGCGUUGUCCGGAUUUACUGGGUGUAAAGGGCGUGCAGCCGGGCAGACAAGUCAGAUGUGAAAUCCCGCGGCUCAACCGCGGAACUGCAUUUGAAACUGUUUGUCUUGAGUACCGGAGAGGUCAUCGGAAUUCCUUGUGUAGCGGUGAAAUGCGUAGAUAUUAGGAGGAACACCGGCGGCGAAGGCGGCCUGCUGGACCGUAACUGACGUUGAGGCUCGAAAGCGUGGGGAGCAAACAGGAUUAGAUACCCGGGUAGUC
This 442-nucleotide ribosomal RNA is filed under the name uncultured bacterium. RNAcentral describes it as "partial 16S ribosomal RNA". It matches the Rfam family "Bacterial small subunit ribosomal RNA", at positions 338 to 795 of the family's 1533-position model. The record is from RNAcentral.